This 253-nucleotide ribosomal RNA is filed under the name uncultured bacterium. Its description in RNAcentral is "partial 16S ribosomal RNA". It matches the Rfam family "Bacterial small subunit ribosomal RNA", at positions 524 to 776 of the family's 1533-position model. The record is from RNAcentral.
UACGAAGGGGGCUAGCGUUGCUCGGAAUCACUGGGCGUAAAGCGCACGUAGGCGGAUUGCUAAGUCAGGGGUGAAAUCCUGGAGCUCAACUCCAGAACUGCCUUUGAUACUGGCGAUCUUGAGUCCGGGAGAGGUGAGUGGAACUCCGAGUGUAGAGGUGAAAUUCGUAGAUAUUCGCAAGAACACCAGUGGCGAAGGCGGCUCACUGGCCCGGUACUGACGCUGAGACGCGAAAGCGUGGGGAGCAAACAGG